GUGUAACACUAUUAAACCCUUGAUAUGAGUGUCAAAAAAGCAACAACCAGAAAAUAAAUAUUUUAAAAUUUGCUAGAUACAAAAUUAUUUAGUUUCCCUUAAAUUAAAAACAUGUUUCGGUGUUUAUUCAUCACAAUUAAUUGUUUUUAUGUACUCAGUUCCCUUUUGUUUUUUGGUUCACCGCAAGCGGAAGGACGUCCGUUUCACGCCUACUUCGUGUCAUUCAUCAUUGUUCUUCUGUGGCCUAUUUUUCACAUUGUAAUAAUAGUUCUGGUUUUCUGUAAAGACGUAACUAUUUGAACAUCGAAAUAUUCCUAGCAAGUCAGUAAUGUUGUUGCAGCGGUAUUUGACAAUGUUGAGUUGGAUCACCUUCGCUUGGUUGGCUGCAUCUCACGUAAUUGCAUUGUAUCUUUUGCUCAACGCCAACGGAGCUGUCCUUUGGUACGACUUCUUGGGUUCGCAAUGGAUCGACUCAUAUGAGUGGUGGCUAUCCAUGGCCUGGGUAGUCGCGGUAUAUAAUGCGGCGCUUGCAAGUUUUGUGCUUCAGCUGUGUUAUGUCAGCAAUUACGAUGCAUUGGAAUACAUCAUAGACGCCCCUGUUUGAAAGUUCAGGAGGUACAAACUUAUGCGGAGCUUCGGAAAAUAGACAGAUAAACUAAUUUAUAAGAUACUUUUUGUGUAAAAAAUGUAAUCGAAGAAAAUAUAGCUUGAGCUUUAAUGUCCUUGCA
This is a long non-coding RNA of Drosophila biarmipes, 728 nucleotides long. RefSeq lists it as uncharacterized. The record is from RefSeq and is a predicted model, not a curated record. The transcript is spliced from 3 exons. NCBI's taxonomy places the organism in Eukaryota, Metazoa, Arthropoda, Insecta, Diptera, Drosophilidae.